UACGGAGGAUUCAAGCGUUAUCCGGAUUUAUUGGGUUUAAAGGGUGCGUAGGCGGCGAGUUAAGUCAGCGGUAAAAGCCCGGGGCUCAACCCCGGCCCGCCGUUGAAACUGGCUGGCUUGAGUUGGGGAAAGGCAGGCGGAAUGCGUGGUGUAGCGGUGAAAUGCAUAGAUAUCACGCAGAACUCCGAUUGCGAAGGCAGCAUACCGGCGCUCAACUGACGCUCAUGCACGAAAGUGUGGGUAUCGAACAGG
RNAcentral lists this ribosomal RNA (252 nucleotides) under uncultured Bacteroidales bacterium. RNAcentral describes it as "partial 16S ribosomal RNA". It matches the Rfam family "Bacterial small subunit ribosomal RNA", at positions 524 to 776 of the family's 1533-position model. The record is from RNAcentral. Lineage: Bacteria; Pseudomonadati; Bacteroidota; Bacteroidia; Bacteroidales.